AUCAUAAUCAUUCCAUUGUUGUUGGGUAUUUGUUGGCUUCUACAUUGUGCUCUGUGCAUUGGUUUGUUGUUCAGGAAAUUCAUAAUUUUGGUAAAUUUCCCAGAAUUUCUUGUUUAGGUUCUAAGGUUUUUAAGACUAGUUCUGUUGUGUAUGCUUGUUGGAGUCCACAUGUACCCGCGGAGAGUGUAGUUUUGUUAGAAAGUGGUGCUUUGUUCUUGUUUGAUUUGGAGUCUUGUUUUAGAAGAAGUAGGACUUCCAACUCUAGUGCGCAUUUUAGAGGGACUAAGUUGCCUGUAUCGUGGGAUGCUGAUUCUGAUUCGGGGAAUUGUAAAUGGUUGAGCUGUGAAAUCAGUUGGCAUCCUAGGAUUUUGAUUGUUGCCCGGUUUGAUGUUGUUUUCUUGGUCGAUUUGAGGUUUGGUGGGUGUGCUGUGAGUUGUUUAGCAAAGGUUGAGAUGUUGAGGAUGUAUACUUCGGUUCAAAAUGAAUGGUUCCUUACGUUUACAAUGGCGGGAUUUGAUGAUUUCUGUUUUGCAUUGGCCUCGGAUAGUUUGUUGGUUCUUUGUGAUGUGCGGAAACCAAUGAUGCCGUUGUUGCAAUGGGCUCACAGUCUUGAUAAUCCGUGCCAUAUUAAUGUAUUUAGAUUGUCGGAAUUCAAACUCGAGGGAUGAUACAUAUAGGUGGGCUUUUGAAUCAGGUUUUACAUUGAUAAGACUUACGUCAUCAGGGAAGCUUGAAUCACAAAACUAUUGUGCCUCAUGGAAGUUGAAAGAACUUCACACAAAACGGUUCCAUUUUAAAGAUAAUUCCUUGUAUAUUAUGGACGAUGAGGACUAAAAUUUCCUAGAAGAUUUAAGUCCGUGAAACUUGAUAAACUCUCUGCAUAUUUGAAUGGUAGUUUAAGUGAAAUCCUGGUUUCAAAAUUGAAAAAGCCUUGCAAGGGUCCUCGAGCAACGGAAUCUUUUAGCUCAGAACCUCAUGAAAUCUUGUGUGAGAAGUUGAAGGCUUGUGGGUUCGGUCAAUUGAGAUUGUCUCCUGUAGUUUCUGUUGUUUUUAAUGACAUCAGCUCGCCAGCAAGCAUGCAUGAGGUUGCUUUGAGGAGGUUGUAGGCGGGCCUGCCAAUGGAACUCUUACAACUGGCCUAUUCCAACUACUCAGAGUUCCUUGAGGUACUUUUGCACCAGAAAAAAGUAUCUUUGGAAUUUCUAGUUGUCCCUCACCUACCUCAAUUGCCUCCUUUCUUCCUAAGAAGGCCUUCAAAUGGCCUUGUCAGAUUCUAGUUGUGAGCUUCAUGGUGACCAAGUUGUCUCCCUUGCUGAUGAAAGAGAAGAUAUGUGGGGCAAUUCUCGAAAACCAAAACCUUUUUGUAUAUACCAUCCAGUUGCAUUUAAGUGCUCUACCAUGGAUCACCUACAGGACAAUGUCUUUAAGGAUGAGAAAUUUAAUAACUGAUUUUUAAAGUGCUUGACAAGAAGCAUGUUCCUAAUGGCUUGGUGGAAACCGUUGGACCAUAACUAUUUGAUGAUCUCUGCCCCGCUAAUUUGAGAUUUGAUACUUCUGCCAAGAACUUCGAGCCAAAUGAAUUAAAGAUAUACAAAGUUUUGAAGAAGAAAUUGUCUAAAUGGGAAGACGGAUUUAAUUUUAUCAGCAAUUUUGCAUAGAGUCUAAAUUCCAAAAGCAAUUGGCAUGACAGUUAGAUUUUCAGGUGUUGACUCGUGAGGGAACAAGAUUGUCUAUGAUCUAUGUACACAAUUUUAGAUCAUAGACAAUUUUACCGAGUGGGUCCAAGACCUCUUCUUCUUCUAGAGAUGAAUUUGUUGAAGAUGUUACAACUGUUACUUUGAAUGGCCAUAAUGAGUGUCUAAAUGUGCUACCCCAGAUACCUCAACCAAAUCUCUUCCAAAUUCAGAUGAUUUAGACCUACAGGACACCCACAUUGCAGUUUCAAGUCAAGUAGAAUCAAGGUCUACCAGAGUAUUAUCUACGACGGAUGAGGAAGAACAAGAUCAAAGAACUAACCUCAUCAGGGGGGUCACAGAUUCACUUGAGGAAGCAAAUGACUCAAAUGAGCAUGAUACUAACACAACCACUCACAAGGACAUUGGGGAAGAUACAAUUGAUGCAGAUGACUAGGCUAACCAGUCAUCAGAUAAUGCCUCUCAAAAUACUCAAAAUAUGGACCCUUCGAAGCAUGCUUUCCACAUUGUUACUGAUAGGCUAAAUUACGCUACAAUGAGGAUGUGGUUUUUGGUAAAUCCACCAGGC
Quercus lobata is the source of this 2262-nucleotide RNA transcript. It is a transcript of the gene named probable galacturonosyltransferase 4, with no coding region annotated. The record is from RefSeq and is a predicted model, not a curated record. NCBI's taxonomy places the organism in Eukaryota, Viridiplantae, Streptophyta, Magnoliopsida, Fagales, Fagaceae. The transcript has 6 exons.